RNAcentral lists this long non-coding RNA (640 nucleotides) under Mytilus galloprovincialis (Mediterranean mussel). Lineage: Eukaryota; Metazoa; Mollusca; Bivalvia; Mytilida; Mytilidae. The record is from RNAcentral.
CUGAAACUACUGGGCCAAAUUUAACCAAACUUAGCCAUAAUCAUCAUUGGGGUAUUAAGUUAAAAAAAUGGGUCCAGUAACUCGGCCAACAAACCAAGAUGGCCACCAUGGCUAAAAAUAGAACAUGGGGGUAAAAUGCAGUUUUUGGCUUAUAACUCAAAAACCAAAGCAUUAGAGCAAAUCUGACAGGAAGUAAAAUUGUUGAUCAGGUCACGAUCUAUCUGCCCUGGAAUUUUCAGAUGAAUCGGAUAAUCGGUUGUUAGGUUGCUGCCCCUGAAUUGGUAAUUUUGAGGAAAUUUUGCUGUUUUUUUUGUUAUUAUCUUGAAUAUUAUUAUAGAUAGAGAUAAACUGUAAACAGCAAUAAUGUACAGCAAAGUAAGAACUAAAAAUAAGUCAGUAUGACCAAAAUAGUCAAUUGACCCCCUAAGGAGUUAUUGCCCUUCAUAGUCAAUUUUUAACAAUUUUCUUAAAAUUUGAAGAUUUUCAAUAACAUUUUCCACAGAAAGUACUGUUAUAGAUAGAGAUAAUUGUAAGCAGCAAGAAUGUUUAGUAAAGUAAGAUCUGCAAACACAUCACCAUCACCAAAACACAAUUUUGUCAUGAAUCCAUCUGUGUCCAUUGUUUAAUAUUCACAUAGACC